RNAcentral lists this transfer RNA (72 nucleotides) under Inimicus japonicus (devil stinger). RNAcentral describes it as "tRNA-Thr". It matches the Rfam family "tRNA". Rfam says of the family: Transfer RNA (tRNA) molecules are approximately 80 nucleotides in length. The record is from RNAcentral. Lineage: Eukaryota; Metazoa; Chordata; Actinopteri; Perciformes; Synanceiidae.
GCACUAGUAGCUCAGUAUCAGAGCAUCGGUCUUGUAAGCCGGAAGUCGGAGGUUAAAAUCCUCCCUAACGCU